GGGGGUGACAUGGGUUCGACGGGGGUCAAGAGGCGACGGGGUGCAUGCCGGGUACCGUGCCGGCCCGAAAGAGGCACGGAAAAAAACAACUGCCAACGCGCAGUACGCUCAGGCCGCGUGAAGACGGCCUCGCUCCUCCUCACCUCGCCCGCGGGUGAGGGAUGGGGCGCCGACCCAGACGGGCUCGGUCAGGGCGAUCGAUCGGCGCGCCCUGGCGACACCGGGAUGCCGAUCUAGUCGCGUGAGGCGCGCGUCGCCUCGCCUCCUCGCGCGGCGAAUCGUCGAGAGGCGACUAAGCAUGUAGAGCCUCGCGCCGGAAGGCCCUCGGACAGCGGUUCGAUUCCGCUCACCUCCACCA
RNAcentral lists this transfer-messenger RNA (358 nucleotides) under Pseudomonadota bacterium. It matches the Rfam family "transfer-messenger RNA". Rfam says of the family: Bacterial tmRNA, also known as 10Sa RNA or SsrA, is named for its dual tRNA and mRNA-like properties. The record is from RNAcentral. RNAcentral also lists the same sequence under 1 other name. Lineage: Bacteria; Pseudomonadati; Pseudomonadota.